UGGGGAAUAUUGGAUAAUGGGCGAAAGUCUGAUCCAGCCAUGCCGCGUGUGUGAAGAAGGUCUUCGGAUUGUAAAGCACUUUAAGUUGGGAGGAAGGGCAGUAAGUUAAUACCUUGCUGUUUUGACGUUACCAACAGAAUAAGCACCGGCUAACUUCGUGCCAGCAGCCGCGGUAAUACGAAGGGUGCAAGCGUUAAUCGGAAUUACUGGGCGUAAAGCGCGCGUAGGUGGUUCAGCAAGUUGGAUGUGAAAUCCCCGGGCUCAACCUGGGAACUGCAUCCAAAACUACUGAGCUAGAGUACGGUAGAGGGUGGUGGAAUUUCCUGUGUAGCGGUGAAAUGCGUAGAUAUAGGAAGGAACACCAGUGGCGAAGGCGACCACCUGGACUGAUACUGACACUGAGGUGCGAAAGCGUGGGGAGCAAACAGGAUUAGAUACUCCUGGUAGUCCACGCCGUAAACGAUGUCGACUAGCCCGUUGGGAUCCAUGAGAUCUUAGUGGCGCAGCUAACGCGAUAAGUCGACCCCCUGGGGAGUACGGCCGCAUGGUUA
RNAcentral lists this ribosomal RNA (551 nucleotides) under uncultured bacterium. RNAcentral describes it as "bacterial SSU rRNA". It matches the Rfam family "Bacterial small subunit ribosomal RNA", at positions 355 to 896 of the family's 1533-position model. The record is from RNAcentral.